ACACACCUCCCUGCAGCCUGGCACUGGAAACUGCUGAGCCAUGCAGGGCAGCCUGGUGGCGGCUAGGACACUUCUGCAGAGGACCUGGAGUUGGGCUGCUCCCGGGGCUCCCAUCUCUUGCUGGGUCUGUUUUCAGGUGCACCCUCCUCCUCCAGGAGGCAGGGGCAAGACCAGCUUCAGCCCUUCUUGCUCUCCAUGGUCUGUAUAUGGACAGGGUGUGGGCCCGGGGAGACAGUUGUGUGGUGUGUGCAUUGUGUGUGUGGGGGGGGUUGUCUGUGUGUCUGUGAAUAUUUGUGUGAUAUGUGUGUAGUAUGCUCAUGUGUCAUGACUCUGUGAGGGUGUGAUGGAAGAGUGUGUGUAAGAGAGAAGUUUGAGUGUGUGUGGUGUGUGCAUCUGGUGUCUGUGGGUGAUGUUUGUGUACAUAGUGUCUGUGUGUGUGAUGUCGGUGUGUUGUGUGGGUUUGUGUGUGUAUAUAGUGUCUGUGUGUGUGAUGUCAGCGUGUUGUGUAAGGAUUUAUGUGUGUGUGUGGUGUCUGUGUUUGUGAUGUUGGUGUGUUGUGUGUGGGUCUAUGUUUGUGUGUGAUGUUGGUGUGUGUGAUAUCAGUGUGUUGUGUGUGGGUUUAUGUGUGUGUGUGUGAUGUCUGUGUCUGAUGGUGUGUUUUGUGUGGGAUUGUGUGUGUGUGUGUGGUGUCUGUGUGUGUGAUGUCAGUGUGUUGUGUGUGGGUUUAUGUGUGUGAUGUCGGUGUGUGUGAUGUCAGUGUGUUGUGUGUGGGUUGAUAUGUGUAUGUGUGAUGUUGGUGUGUUGUGUGUGCAUUUAUGUGUGUGUGGUGUCUGUGUGUGUGAUGUCAGUGUGUUGUGUGUGGGUGUAUAUUUGUGCAUCAUGUCAGUGUGUGUGAUGUCAGUGUGUUGUGUGUGGGUUUAUGUGUGUGUCUGAUUUUGGUGUGUUGUGUAUGGGUUUAUGUGUGUGUGGUGACUGUGUGUGAUGUUGGUGUGUUGUGUGGGUUUAUGUGUGUGGUGUCUGUGUGUAUGAUGUCAGUGUGUUGUGUAGGUUUAUGUGUAUGUGAUGUUGGUGUGUGUAAUGUCAGUGUGUUGUGUGUGGGUUUAUAUGUGUUUGUGUGAUAUUGGUGUGUUGUGUGUGGGUUUAUGAGUGUGCAUGGUGUCUGUGUGAUGUUGGUGUGUUGUGUGGGUUUGUGUGUGUGGAUGUGGUUUCUGCCUAUGGGAGGAGGUUUGCUCACAGAUGGAGGAGAAGGAGCUCUAUAGGCAAAGAUCCCAGGGCCGUGGAGGAGGAGACACAGUCCUGAGAACUCCUUCCUCUGAAUCAGAAGGACAGGAAAGAAGUCCUAGCAGAGUAUGCCCACGCUGGUUAGUGCUGCUGCAAAGAUGAGCCGAAGACCAUGAGAGACCUCCAGGUGGUCCUUCUGGGGAGAAGAAAUGGGUUUUGGCCCCAAAUCCUUCUGCUGCAUUUUUCCCCUAUCCCUGGGAAGCCAUGAGACCUCAAACCUGUGUUCCCAAGGAGGCGAGCUGCUGUUCCCAGGUGAUGAUAUGAUGUGCUUGGGGAAAGUAAGUGGCUGCCAGACAUGGCUGAGAGCUGUUGUCACUGCCGUCAAGUGCAUGUCUCCAAGCCAUAUCACACGGCGUCCCUCGAUGUGAGGCCACAUGGCAAGUGGGCCGUGGAUCUCCCUCUGCCCUUUGCAAGCACGUAAGACAGCAGAUUUUGCAGAUACCUUGUGGCGCAGGGGAAUUUCCUUUGGCCAGGUCUGAAGAAAUAAAGCAGCAGGCACCGAGAACAAAGCCAAGGCUUUCAAAAGACAAGGAGCCAAAAAACUUACUCAAAAUAAAAGUAGUUUUAAAAUGU
This 1854-nucleotide long non-coding RNA is filed under the name Homo sapiens (human). RNAcentral's name for it is "HSALNT0400148". Lineage: Eukaryota; Metazoa; Chordata; Mammalia; Primates; Hominidae. The record is from RNAcentral.